This 309-nucleotide ribosomal RNA is filed under the name uncultured bacterium. RNAcentral describes it as "partial 16S ribosomal RNA". It matches the Rfam family "Bacterial small subunit ribosomal RNA", at positions 504 to 807 of the family's 1533-position model. The record is from RNAcentral.
AGAGACAGCAGUAGCCGCGGUAAUACGGAGGGUGCAAGCGUUAAUCGGAAUUACUGGGCGUAAAGCGCACGCAGGCGGUUUGUUAAGUCAGAUGUGAAAUCCCCGAGCUUAACUUGGGAACUGCAUUUGAAACUGGCAAGCUAGAGUCUUGUAGAGGGGGGUAGAAUUCCAGGUGUAGCGGUGAAAUGCGUAGAGAUCUGGAGGAACACCGGUGGCGAAAGCGGCUCUCUGGUCUGUAACUGACGCUGAGGCUCGAAAGCGUGGGGAGCGAACAGGAUUAGAUACCCCGGUAGUCCCUGUCUCUUAUAC